GACGAACGCUGGCGGCGUGCUUAACACAUGCAAGUCGAGCGAGGAGCUUGCUCUAGCGGCGAACGGGUGAGUAACACGUGGGCAACCUGCCCCAAGCUCUGGAAUAACUCCGGGAAACCGGGGCUAAUGCCGGAUAUGACAUCACUGGGCAUCUGGUGGUGUGGAAAGAUUUAUCGGCUUGGGAUGGGCCCGCGGCCUAUCAGCUUGUUGGUGGGGUAAUGGCCUACCAAGGCGACGACGGGUAGCCGGCCUGAGAGGGCGACCGGCCACACUGGGACUGAGACACGGCCCAGACUCCUACGGGAGGCAGCAGUGGGGAAUAUUGCGCAAUGGGCGAAAGCCUGACGCAGCGACGCCGCGUGAGGGAUGAAUGCC
RNAcentral lists this ribosomal RNA (375 nucleotides) under Frankia sp. RNAcentral describes it as "bacterial SSU rRNA". It matches the Rfam family "Bacterial small subunit ribosomal RNA", at positions 28 to 416 of the family's 1533-position model. The record is from RNAcentral. Lineage: Bacteria; Bacillati; Actinomycetota; Actinomycetes; Frankiales; Frankiaceae.